RNAcentral lists this ribosomal RNA (221 nucleotides) under uncultured bacterium. RNAcentral's name for it is "partial 16S ribosomal RNA". It matches the Rfam family "Bacterial small subunit ribosomal RNA", at positions 114 to 334 of the family's 1533-position model. The record is from RNAcentral.
GACCCAACCCUCGCCCCUGGUGGUGGGGGAGUAGCCGGGCUAACGCCCGGGUAAUACCGCAUACGGUCCUUUGGGGGAGUCCCUGGGGGAAGAAAGCUCUGGCGCACGGGGAGGGGGUCGCGGCCUAUCAGCUAGUUGGUGCGGUAACGGCGCACCAAGGCGACGACGGGUAGCUGGUCUGAGAGGAUGGCCAGCCACAUUGGGACUGAGAGACGGCCCAG